Molecule: ribosomal RNA, 376 nt
Filed under: uncultured bacterium
Lineage: Bacteria
Description: bacterial SSU rRNA
Rfam family: Bacterial small subunit ribosomal RNA
Source: RNAcentral
UACGUAGGUGGCGAGCGUUGUUCGGAUUUAUUGGGCGUAAAGGGUCCGCAGGGGGUCUGUUAAGUCUGAUGUGAAAUCUCACGGCUCAACCGUGAAACUGCAUUGGAUACUGACGGACUAGAGUAUUGGAGAGGAGAGCGGAAUUCCAGGUGUAGCGGUGGAAUGCGUAGAUAUCUGGAAGAACACCGAAAGCGAAGGCAGCUCUCUGGACAAUUACUGACCCUCAGGGACGAAAGCGUGGGGAUCAAACAGGAUUAGAUACCCUGGUAGUCCACGCUGUAAACGUUGUGAACUUGAUGUGGGAGGAUUUAACCCCUUCCGUGUCGGAGCUAACGCUUUAAGUUCACCGCCUGGGGACUACGGCCGCAAGGCUAAA